This 309-nucleotide ribosomal RNA is filed under the name uncultured bacterium. RNAcentral's name for it is "partial 16S ribosomal RNA". It matches the Rfam family "Bacterial small subunit ribosomal RNA", at positions 504 to 808 of the family's 1533-position model. The record is from RNAcentral.
AGAGACAGCAGUCGCCGCGGGAAUAUGUAGGUCCCGAGCGUUGUCCGGAUUUAUUGGGCGUAAAGCGAGCGCAGGCGGUUAGAUAAGUCUGAAGUUAAAGGCUGUGGCUUAACCAUAGUACGCUUUGGAAACUGUUUAACUUGAGUGCAAGAGGGGAGAGUGGAAUUCCAUGUGUAGCGGUGAAAUGCGUAGAUAUAUGGAGGAACACCGGUGGCGAAAGCGGCUCUCUGGCUUGUAACUGACGCUGAGGCUCGAAAGCGUGGGGAGCAAACAGGAUUAGAUACCCCCGUAGUCCCUGUCUCUUAUACA